RNAcentral lists this ribosomal RNA (255 nucleotides) under uncultured bacterium. Its description in RNAcentral is "partial 16S ribosomal RNA". It matches the Rfam family "Bacterial small subunit ribosomal RNA", at positions 524 to 776 of the family's 1533-position model. The record is from RNAcentral.
UACGGGGGGAGCAAGCGUUGUUCGGAUUUACUGGGCGUAAAGGGCGCGUAGGCGGCCACCGCAAGUCGACUGUGAAAUCUCCGGGCUUAACUCGGAAAGGUCAGCCGAUACUGCGGGGCUAGAGUGCAGAAGGGGCAACUGGAAUUCUCGGUGUAGCGGUGAAAUGCGUAGAUAUCGAGAGGAACACCUGCGGCGAAGGCGGGUUGCUGGGCUUACACUGACGCUGAUUGUGCGAAAGCUAGGGGAGCGAACGGG